UACGACUGGUGCACGCGUUAAUCGGAAUUACUGGGCGUAAAGCGCGCGUAGGUGGUUUGUUAAGUUGGAUGUGAAAGCCCCGGGCUCAACCUGGGAACUGCAUCCAAAACUGGCAAGCUAGAGUAUGGCAGAGGGUGGUGGAAUUUCCUGUGUAGCGGUGAAAUGCGUAGAUAUAGGAAGGAACACCAGUGGCGAAGGCGACCACCUGGGCUAAUACUGACACUGAGGUGCGAAAGCGUGGGGAGCAAACAGGAUGAGAUAACCGUGUAGUCC
RNAcentral lists this ribosomal RNA (273 nucleotides) under uncultured bacterium. Its description in RNAcentral is "partial 16S ribosomal RNA". It matches the Rfam family "Bacterial small subunit ribosomal RNA", at positions 524 to 796 of the family's 1533-position model. The record is from RNAcentral.